Molecule: ribosomal RNA, 465 nt
Filed under: uncultured bacterium
Lineage: Bacteria
Description: partial 16S ribosomal RNA
Rfam family: Bacterial small subunit ribosomal RNA
Source: RNAcentral
CUACGGGGGGCUGCAGUGAGGAAUAUUGCGCAAUGGGGGAAACCCUGACGCAGCGACGCCGCGUGGAUGAUGAAGGCCUUCGGGUCGUAAAAUCCUGUCAGAAGGAAAGAAGUGUAUGGUAGCUAAUAUCUGCCAUACUUGACGGUACCUUCAAAGGAAGCACCGGCUAACUCCGUGCCAGCAGCCGCGGUAAUACGGAGGGUGCAAGCGUUGUUCGGAAUUACUGGGCGUAAAGCGCGCGUAGGCGGUUUUAUAAGUCAGAUGUGAAAGUCCACGGCUCAACCAUGGAAGUGCAUUUGAAACUGUAAGACUUGAGUAUUGGAGGGGGGAGUGGAAUUCCCGGUGUAGAGGUGAAAUUCGUAGAUAUCGGGAGGAAUACCGGUGGCGAAGGCGACUAUCUGGCCAAAUACUGACGCUGAGGUGCGAAAGCGUGGGGAGCAAACAGGAUUAAAUACCCGUGUAGUC